RNAcentral lists this ribosomal RNA (492 nucleotides) under uncultured bacterium. Its description in RNAcentral is "partial 16S ribosomal RNA". It matches the Rfam family "Bacterial small subunit ribosomal RNA", at positions 29 to 507 of the family's 1533-position model. The record is from RNAcentral.
AGUGAACGCUGGCGGUAGGCCUAACACAUGCAAGUCGAACGGCAGCACAGUAAGAGCUUGCUCUUACGGGUGGCGAGUGGCGGACGGGUGAGGAAUACAUCGGAAUCUACUUUUUCGUGGGGGAUAACGUAGGGAAACUUACGCUAAUACCGCAUACGACCUACGGGUGAAAGCAGGGGAUCUUCGGACCUUGCGCGAUUGAAUGAGCCGAUGUCGGAUUAGCUAGUUGGCGGGGUAAAGGCCCACCAAGGCGACGAUCCGUAGCUGGUCUGAGAGGAUGAUCAGCCGCACUGGAACUGAGACACGGUCCAGACGCCUGCGAGAGGCAGCAGUGGGGAAUAUUGGACAAUGGGCGCAAGCCUGAUCCAGCCAGACCGCGUGGGUGAAGAAGGCCUUCGGGUUGUAAAGCCCUUUUGUGGGGAAAGAAAAGCAGCAGGUUAAUACCCCGCUGUUCUGACGGUACCCAAAGAAUAAGCACCGGCUAACUUCGUG